Anopheles funestus (African malaria mosquito) is the source of this 4507-nucleotide RNA transcript. RefSeq lists it as uncharacterized. NCBI's taxonomy places the organism in Eukaryota, Metazoa, Arthropoda, Insecta, Diptera, Culicidae. The transcript is spliced from 4 exons. The record is from RefSeq and is a predicted model, not a curated record.
AACCAGCAUUGUCAAAGCGUACCGAUGUACUACUCGUAGCGAUCGAGUAGCGAGAACUUACGUGCAAUUGUCUCCCGGUACACUAAUGAGACAAAGUUACACCUUUCAAGUGUCAAAAAGUGUUUCCACACGUUUGACGUUUUGUGGAUGCGGGUUUGGUUUAAUAUCUGCAAAGUUGGACUGUGAUUUCUCCCCUUAACGUUGGAUAGGACGAUGGAUACGGUUCCGUGCUUCCUGAGCUUUGUGAGAACGAUCCCCUUUUCACGGCCAAGUGACAGGUGAGCGGAUCUUCUGGGCAAUUACCAGGUGCCAUGAUCUACCACCCCCGGCACCGAAGCUCACACAGUUGGCCGUCCGGGACUCGUUAAUUUUAAUUUCUUUCAGCACCUUUUCCCAUACGGCCGGCGCUCGCUGUCCUCGUUGAUUAAAUGCCAUCGCCGGAGGUGGUUUGGGGGUUUAGUGUGAAGUUGCGUGCACUGCAUAUCAAUGAUGUGAGAACGAAGCGAGCUAGGCAGCCGGUGGGCAACGCAUGUUCGCAGCACACGGACAGUAAUAAACGAGAGACGAACGAAGUCAAUCUUACGUGCAAGUAUAGCUUGCCGGGAAUCUGGAGAAAUUAUUCGAACAAAUAUCUCGUCGCUUACAUCAAUCACUUGCGGUGCAAUGGAGAUGGACGACGGAAAGCAUUAUACGUAGAAUAGCUUACCGGUACGUACCAUACGCGCAACGGUCGGAAGGAAUCAGGGCUAUUGUGUAACAACAGUUAUUAUGUAUGUGGAACCGCGGAGUAAGUAAGCUUGAAGUGUAGCCGCGAACUCUUAAUUUUGACAUGUGUCACCGUUUCAACUGACACGCAGUUGUUCGCGCCUUUUUAUCUAUUGAACUAGAGUGUUGUAAGCCGAUCUCUUUGCAUGAAUAAAAGUUAUUAAAUUGAACUAACGGACAAACACAAAAACAGUAUUGCAGUGUUUUGAACUAAGCAGAAGAAGAACGAAAAACGACCACACCUUGAAGACGGUGGUUUUCAUGGUCGCGCAGUAGCAGGCCGGCCCUUGAUGCUCGACUUGCACUUGCAAACAGCGGCAAAAACCGUACCUUCGUCCCGUUCAAGAAGCUGCAUCUGGAGUCGUACAAAAGCGCCAGGAAAAUUGGUGGAAUGUGACCUCUUCCGCUGUAAGUAAAGUUCCACAGUCGUUGGCGCCAGUGCCAGUGAGUGCAUCGAUCCGUGCAGAAGGAAUGAAAGAACGAAACAAAAAACAACAACAAUUCGAAACCACUUUUUGUUUACCAACCGGAGAACUUAUGCAGUGCAGUUCCUUACUGGUUUCAUUCUACAGAUGGUGGAAUUUUAAACAAACUCUCUGGCAGAAAGACCGCCGGUUGUGUGGCAAUCGACCCAGGGAGAAGGAUGGUCUAGCAGGAAUGUCAACAAAUGCUAUCGAAAUCGGAACUGGAAACCAAAUGGUGGAACCUUUCACGUUACAGAUUCCUGUGGAUAUAUGUAAGAAUGAGCUAUAAAUUAAACAAAUUAGCUUACGACGUCAGCAAAAACCAAACCCUCGCUAACCAAUUUUAUCAUCACCCAUUGUGUAGUACCUUACUGACAAGGAUCGCUGACGUUGGCAAGAUUGCAAAUAAAAGUCAACCAAUAUUGAGCGGUGGAAAGAGAAACGGAAAAAUUGGAGGCGACAAGGUGAAGGGCACGAGAAACGAGUAAAAAACUCCUCUGGAAUGGGGUGGUUGAUGAUACAGAAAUAAAAACGAAUGGGCGCAGCAGUUUGCAUCACCAAAAAACGUGACAAAUAUACUUGGAAUUUCAAUAGACGACAAAUAUUUGUUACCAGUUUAAAUAGAAACCACAAUUCCAAGGCGAAAACAACGGUCCCAAUAGAACAAAUGGCAAAAGGGCAGCAGAAGGGCAGAUCCGAUUGAAGUGCGCCUGUUGGCAAUGUUUUACAGAUGAAGUUUUCGUUCCACCAUGCCAAGAAUCGUUUCACCAUUCUGGCAAAGAAAAAUGUGGCAAAAAAAGGGCAGUAAAAGAAAUGUCCUAUUUUUGGGCCAUCAAUAAGCCACAAGAAAGAAAAAAACGAUACAUGGUACCUUGAUCGACAUCGACAGAUUGGUCUUGUGGGCAAAGGGAUGGUUGGCGUAACAGCUGAUACGAGUUUUUGCCUUCGAGAAAUGACUCGAGGGGAAUCGAUAACAAUAUACGGAUAUUGUAUUCACGCCAUUUCCCAGCCAUUGCUUCUAUUUUCCUAACGUCACGGCAAUGUCAAGAUUACGUCAGCGAAAUAUCAACAUUAAUCAUCGUUCAUUUCGAUGUACAGCAAUUUGCACAAUUUGCCAUUGCACGGCUUAUUGAUAAAAGGUCUUUAAUAAGCAAUAUUUGUUGGAAUGGGAAGAAAAUCAAAACGCAAAUUUACCGUGACUGGUGGCGUUGGGGUGUACUGAUUUCUCAGCCCAAACUGCAUUGAAACCAACACGGCAAGUUGGAUAAUAUUCAUAGACAGCAAUGGCCGAGAGCGGCAACAUGAAGCUGCUGAUGACUAUAAUAACGAUUGUUGGCUUUCCUUUCAUCAGUUUCUUCAUUUGUACAAAUUGUCACGAUUUCAUCCGACCUGCCCGAUGACCUUCGGUGCUGGUUGAACGCUUGCGUGACACGAACCGGCAACGCAAAUGCUGGAACAGUGCUGUGACAGUGGUGGAAGAGCUCGGUCUAGCCGUUUGCAAUCUAUCCUCUGCUUCCUACCGAGAUUUGUCCAUGUAGCGCGUCAGUGUAAUGAAUUAUAUCCAUCCGGUUAGGCGGCUAAAGAAAGUAUAUCAUUCAUUCACUCCGCCACCAUGGGGCAACUUUUCUCAUCAACAUCCAGCAGCGGACACGUGAACGCAGUAAUACAAGCAUGCAGGAACGUACGUAAAUUGACAGAUACCAUUAGAGAUUAGUGUUACCGAGACACUCCGUUCCCCGUCCCCAACGUCUUGCUUUUCGUGUAGAUUUGCGACCAACCCGACAAGUAAAUUAAUGGUGACGUUGCUUUCUCGAAGAUUUUCUGCUUGCCAUUCAAUAUCUUCAUUAUGGCUUUCUGCUUGCCUUUAUGCAAAGGAAGAAGGAAAAAACAAACUCCACAUGGCGCAACAUUCUCCUGCAAUUGUCUAAUACCACAAAACCCGAAGCACAAUGAUGGGCAAAGUGUUCUACCGUUCCAACCAUUUUGAGAUGAAACUUCACACCAUCACAAACCGAUGGUUGUCGGCUGGGUUUGAAAUACCACCAAUGUUGUUAGCAGGCGUAUCCAUCAAGCGCUGUCGGAAGCUCAUUCGAUACAAGCCGCAUCCAAUUCAUCAUAGUUCUCUACCAAAGGCGCAUGAUGAAUGUGUCAAAAAAAAAGUGACAGUCUGCCUAUUGUGGCUGUGUAAAUAAAGUAAGAAAAUACUUCACUUAUCCUAAGCAGGUGAUGAGAUGGAGGCGCAUGGUGUUUAUCAUAAAUAGAAAAUAAUGUACUAAUUUUGUUGUUUUUUUUUAUAUAUACAGAACGGCUUGGCCAUAUUGAUACUAAUUUUGUUGAUGUCGUAUAUGAAAAAAUAUGACAGUCUGCCUAUUGUGGCUGUGUAAAUAAAGUAAAAAAAUACUUCACUUAUCCUAACCAGGUGAUCCGAUGGAGGCGCAUGGUGUUUAUCAUAAAUAGAAAAUAAUGUACUAAUUUUGUUGUUUUUUUUUAUUUAUGUAUAUAGAACGGCUUGGCUACAUUGAUACUAAUUUUGUUGAUGUCAUAUAAGAAAAAAUGUGACAGUCUGCCUAUUGUGGCUGAGUAAAUAAAAUAAGAAAAUACUUCACAGGUGAUACAGGUGAUCCGAUGGAGGCGCAUGGUGUUUAUCAUAAAUAGAAAAUAUUGUACUAUUUUUGUUGACUACGUUGUAAGAUAACAACCUGGUCGUUUUGAAGCUAGUAAAAAGAAGCAAAAUAAAUGAAUAAUAAAAAGUAAGAUAGGCCAAAUGCUUAAUCAGUGAUAUAUUGCCUAGGCAGGAUAAAAGGACGGUUAAAGGUGGGUUUAGGUUGCAUCCCACACGAAGAGUGGUGGAAAAAUUAUGUAUCUUUUAUUUCUCUACAGAACCACCUACAAUGCACGUGCGGGUCGGAAUAAUCGAAAUUGGGCUUUCGAUAAACCGAAAUGGAAAAGAAACGAAAUCUCAAUAUGCUGCGAAAAGAAACAGUGAUAUAAAAACAAAGCUUUUUUUCACAGAAACAAGAGAAUAUCUUUAAAAAAAUGGUUGGCGAGCUUUCUAUAAACGACUUGCUGAAAAGUCUUUGAUAAAAAUCCUACAUUCUUUGAUUUUAUCCUUCCUUUUGUGGUCCAUGUUGUGUCCAUCGUCAUACCGAUGGGAUAGCAUUGGACACAAAUGUUUAGUGACGUCCAUCGUGGCCGUAUCCUUUCACUGAACUCAUCAACCCGUUAAAAGAUCCUUACAGCUAACUCCCUUUCCCUGGUCACUCUUAUAACCCUACUUA